GAAGUGCUAUUUACUAGUUUUCUCUCCAGUACCGUAUUGUGUUCUCGCCUCACUAUUCCGAUCCUGUUGGAUCAAGUAAAGCUUUUGAUGCCUCAAAGAUUCUGAUUCUUCAAGCUUGGGCAUGGAAAUUAAAGGAACUGCAGGAGUGUUCAUUAAUAUCCUCAAACAGAUUGUAAAAUCAAUUGUAAUCACGACUCAUCGCGACUUUAACCGUGUGGCGUGGUUCACAGUGGAACAGAACCCCUCAAGAUGAAUGCAGAAUUGGAGAUUAUUGGGAUCAGAAUGUCUGCAAUUGGAUGCAAGCAACGUUGGGUUCACAUUAUGGUAUGCAUUGGAGCUAACGAAAAGGUGUGGUAUUGAAGUAGCACAUUCAGAAGCUGGUGCAUCAAAAGUGCUGGUGACUCUCAUUAUCAAUAUCUGCCUUUUCCAAGAGGUGUCUUCCAAAAUAUCGGAAGUAGCCCACGUUUUUCAGACUCUUGCCAUGAACCUUAAUUAUUGGAGGGAAAUUUGGAGCAAGUUGUGUCACAACCACCAAUUCAGCAGCGCAACAGGGCUUGUUGAGACUUGAACAAAGCACAGCUGCCUGCUUGCUUUCGCCCUUGCCUGAGAAAUUCAAGUCAAUUGGCUCUGAAGACUAACAAUAUUCGUUUUAUGUUUAGUUAUUCCUUUCAGCCGCAGUGUUGGUUUUGUUUUCCAUUUGAGAGUUUUAGUUAAUGGCCAUGUUCGGCCCAGCGUUUAUUGUUUUCUUUUCCCUCUAACUCUGUUCGCAUUGAAGUCUGUGAACUAUCGACCCACUUCAGUGUCUCUCGCUCCGCACUUGGACCAUCCCCGAACGUACUGAUAAGUUGUUAGAGUAUCCUCUCAUCUGCUUUGGUGAAACUUUGACGAUGGUGUGGAGCUUGGCUUCUGAGCAUGUGCAAGCACAAUUAUUGUCUGCCAAGUGCAGCUUGACCAUCGCGAUUUCUGUGGCUCUGGA
Mobula hypostoma (lesser devil ray) is the source of this 976-nucleotide long non-coding RNA. RefSeq lists it as uncharacterized. The record is from RefSeq and is a predicted model, not a curated record. Lineage: Eukaryota; Metazoa; Chordata; Chondrichthyes; Myliobatiformes; Myliobatidae. The transcript has 3 exons.